UACGUAGGGAGCAAGCGUUGUCCGGAUUCACUGGGUGUAAAGGGUGCGCAGGCGGGCAAGUAAGUCAGAGGUGAAAUCUCACAGCUUAACUGUGAAACUGCCUUUGAUACUGCUUUUCUUGAGUUCGGGAGAGGUUGAUGGAAUUCCAGGUGUAGCGGUGAAAUGCGUAGAUAUCUGGAAGAACACCAGUGGCGAAGGCGGUCAACUGGCCCGUAACUGACGCUCAGGCACGAAAGCGUGGGUAGCGAACAGG
Molecule: ribosomal RNA, 253 nt
Filed under: uncultured bacterium
Lineage: Bacteria
Description: partial 16S ribosomal RNA
Rfam family: Bacterial small subunit ribosomal RNA
Source: RNAcentral